This 398-nucleotide ribosomal RNA is filed under the name uncultured bacterium. RNAcentral's name for it is "bacterial SSU rRNA". It matches the Rfam family "Bacterial small subunit ribosomal RNA", at positions 361 to 776 of the family's 1533-position model. The record is from RNAcentral.
AUCUUGGACAAUGGGCGAAAGCCUGAUCCAGCCAUGCCGCGUGGAUGAUGAAGGCCCUAGGGUUGUAAAAUCCUUUCGUUGGGGACGAUAAUGACGGUACCCAAAGAAGAAGCUCCGGCUAACUUCGUGCCAGCAGCCGCGGUAAUACGAAGGGGGCUAGCGUUGUUCGGAUUUACUGGGCGUAAAGCGCGUGUAGGCGGGUCGGUAAGUUGGGGGUGAAAUCCCCGGGCUCAACCUGGGAAUGGCAUUCGGGACUGCAAGGCUGGAGUGCGGCAGAGGAGACUGGAAUUCCUGGUGUAGCAGUGAAAUGCGUAGAUAUCAGGAGGAAUACCGAUGGCGAAGGCAGGUCUCUGGGCUGACACUGACGCUCAUGCACGAAAGCGUGGGGAGCAAACAGG